RNAcentral lists this small RNA (158 nucleotides) under Arabidopsis thaliana (thale cress). RNAcentral's name for it is "ATSL067750". Lineage: Eukaryota; Viridiplantae; Streptophyta; Magnoliopsida; Brassicales; Brassicaceae. The record is from RNAcentral.
CGAGAUUUUCGGUUCGGUUCAUGAGAACCGAACGGUUAACCGAAAAUAAUAAAACCCUAACCUAACCUAGAUUACUAGCCGCCUACUCUUCUUCUUUGUCUUUUUUUUUUUUGAUUCACCGGGAGACGGAAGCUCCCGGAAUAUUAUUAAAAAAGAAA